Molecule: non-coding RNA, 802 nt
Organism: Prunus avium (sweet cherry)
Lineage: Eukaryota; Viridiplantae; Streptophyta; Magnoliopsida; Rosales; Rosaceae
Source: RefSeq, a predicted model, not a curated record
CCAUAAAGGGCGCCUGAUCUCUCAAAUGAUAAAACAACCCUCGGCCCCUCAGAGUCCCAAAUGAGAGUGAGAGCAGAUCUUUGAAAAUGAGAGAUGAGAAACAGAGAGAAGGUCUGGAAACCCUAACAAUGGCAUUGGCUCUGUGAUCGGAGCCUUCGUUGGAGAUCAGAGGCAUGAGCGUGAAGAAAGAGAGAGACGACGGGGCAUGAAGAAAAGCUCCUCCAAUGCGAUUCUUGUUUUGCGAGGUUUAACGCCUCGAUGGCCGCCAUUGAUCCACGAUCGGAUCCGUUCAACAGCUCACUGUUGAAAUCGCGUUGUAAUUAACACCAAGACCAGAGAUCUGAUGGGGCUAGCUACACUCCCUGGCAGCUUGCUCAAGAUUCGAUAGGGUGCAAUGUGGAUUGAUAGGCACUGACAGCGGGCCUUCCAUAUCUUUAAGGUAUUCUUUUUGGUAGUAAAAUGUUGUUUAAAAUGAAGUUAUGAAUGGACAAAUAUAGUAAUAGAGUAUUUUAAAAUGUUUCUUCAGGAUGUUGUGUGCUGGUUUGCGAUCUUUACCGUUCAGUGGUUAUCCCACACCAAAUGUUCUUCCUAUGAGUUGCAGCAUCUUGCAUUUUAAAUAAAAGAACCUGUUGUUCUAUGUUCUUUUUUAUUAUUGACAUAACGAACUGUUCUUCCUAUCUUUCCCACUUGUUGCAUUUUAACUUUUUAUUUUAUUUUUAUUAUAUGGUUUUUUGAUAUCCUUUUAUGUUACUACCUGUGAAGUUUGUCCACAUUUUAAAGACAUUAUUCGUUCCUGAAAUGC